RNAcentral lists this ribosomal RNA (329 nucleotides) under uncultured eukaryote. Its description in RNAcentral is "partial 18S ribosomal RNA". It matches the Rfam family "Eukaryotic small subunit ribosomal RNA", at positions 1470 to 1796 of the family's 1831-position model. The record is from RNAcentral.
CCCUUAGAUGUUCUGGGCCGCACGCGCGCUACACUGAUGCAUUCAACGAGUCUAAAACCUGCUCUGAUAGGGGUGGGUAAUCUUUUGAAUGUGCAUCGUGAUUGGGAUAGAUGAUUGCAAUUUUUCAUCUUCAACGAGGAAUGCCUAGUAAACGCAAGUCAUCAGCUUGCAUUGAUUACGUCCCUGCCCUUUGUACACACCGCCCGUCGCUCCUACCGAUUGAAUGAUCCGAUGAAUAUCAUGGAUUGAGGAUGCAAGCAGGUUCGCCUGUCUUCAUCUUCGAGAAGUGAAGUAAAUCUUAUCAUUUAGAGGAAGGAGAAGUCGUGACA